Molecule: ribosomal RNA, 497 nt
Filed under: uncultured bacterium
Lineage: Bacteria
Description: partial 16S ribosomal RNA
Rfam family: Bacterial small subunit ribosomal RNA
Source: RNAcentral
GAUGAACGCUGGCGGCGUGCCUAAUACAUGCAAGUCGAGCGAACAGACGAGGAGCUUGCUCCUCUGACGUUAGCGGCGGACGGGUGAGUAACACGUGGAUAACCUACCUAUAAGACUGGGAUAACUUCGGGAAACCGGAGCUAAUACCGGAUAAUAUAUUGAACCGCAUGGUUCAAUAGUGAAAUACGGUUUUGCUGUCACUUAUAGAUGGAUCCGCGCCGCAUUAGCUAGUUGGUAAGGUAACGGCUUACCAAGGCGACGAUGCGUAGCCGACCUGAGAGGGUGAUCGGCCACACUGGAACUGAGACACGGUCCAGACUCCUACGGGAGGCAGCAGUAGGGAAUCUUCCGCAAUGGGCGAAAGCUUGACGGAGCAACGCCGCGUGAGUGAUGAAGGUCUUCGGAUCGUAAAACUCUGUUAUUAGGGAAGAACAAAUGUGUAAGUAACUAUGCACGUCUUGACGGUACCUAAUCAGAAAGCCACGGCUAACUACGUG